GACGAACGCUGGCGGCGUGCCUAAUACAUGCAAGUAGAACGCACAGUUUAUACCGUAGCUUGCUACACCAUAGACUGUGAGUUGCGAACGGGUGAGUAACGCGUAGGUAACCUGCCUGGUAGCGGGGGAUAACUAUUGGAAACGAUAGCUAAUACCGCAUAAUAUUGAUUAUUGCAUGAUAAUUAAUUGAAAGGUGCAAUUGCACCACUACCAGAUGGACCUGCGUUGUAUUAGCUAGUAGGUGAGGUAACGGCUCACCUAGGCGACGAUACAUAGCCGACCUGAGAGGGUGAUCGGCCACACUGGGACUGAGACACGGCCCAGACUCCGACGGGAGGCAGCAGUAGGGAAUCUUCGGAAAUGGACGAAAGUCUGACCGAGCAACGCCGCGUGAGUGAAGAAGGUUUUCGGAUCGUAAAGCUCUGUUGUAAGAGAAGAACGGGUGUGAGAGUGGAAAGUUCACACUGUGACGGUAUCUUACCAGAAAGGGACGGCUAACUACGUG
Molecule: ribosomal RNA, 505 nt
Filed under: uncultured bacterium
Lineage: Bacteria
Description: partial 16S ribosomal RNA
Rfam family: Bacterial small subunit ribosomal RNA
Source: RNAcentral